GACGAACGCUGGCGGCAUGCCUAAUACAUGCAAGUCGAGCGGAGUUAUGAAGGAGCUUGCUCUUGAUUAACUUAGCGGCGGACGGGUGAGUAACGCGUGGGAAUCUGCCCUUGGGUUCGGAAUAACUCGCCGAAAGGCGUGCUAAUACCGGAUGAUGUCGUAAGACCAAAGAUUUAUCGCCCAGGGAUGAGCCCGCGUAAGAUUAGGUAGUUGGUGAGGUAAAGGCUCACCAAGCCGACGAUCUUUAGCUGGUCUGAGAGGAUGAUCAGCCACACUGGGACUGAGACACGGCCCAG
RNAcentral lists this ribosomal RNA (296 nucleotides) under uncultured bacterium. RNAcentral describes it as "partial 16S ribosomal RNA". It matches the Rfam family "Bacterial small subunit ribosomal RNA", at positions 28 to 334 of the family's 1533-position model. The record is from RNAcentral.